GGGGCUGACUGGUUUUGACAGCAAGCCGGGCAGGUAUGCAAGCAUGCCGAGCAACGCAUAUAAGCUCGUAAAACUUUUUGUGCAAACUAUUAAACGGCGAGAAUAACUACGCGCUUGCAGCAUAGUCUUAAGAAGAUCUAUGCAUAAUCUGCGGUCAAGGAUCGCAGACAGGCUGUCUCUCAAAAACCACGCCCAACGGUUUUUGGUUAAGAGGCACCGGUAAGAUUGGGCUGGCCUGGGGAUAUUCCCGCACCCCGGGUGAGAAUUCAAGGGAAUAAGGUAUGGAUAGGUUGUCUGUUGCCGGUCCGCUACCCGACAAUAAAUAACAGACUAAGCAUGUAGAAACCAUAUCGGUUCCUUGUUUGGACGAGGGUUCGAUUCCCUCCAGCUCCACAA
RNAcentral lists this transfer-messenger RNA (396 nucleotides) under Bacteroidales. RNAcentral describes it as "PXAP01 sp007695015 Standard tmRNA". It matches the Rfam family "transfer-messenger RNA". From Rfam's summary of the family: Bacterial tmRNA, also known as 10Sa RNA or SsrA, is named for its dual tRNA and mRNA-like properties. The record is from RNAcentral. RNAcentral also lists the same sequence under 1 other name. Lineage: Bacteria; Pseudomonadati; Bacteroidota; Bacteroidia.